This 497-nucleotide ribosomal RNA is filed under the name uncultured bacterium. RNAcentral's name for it is "partial 16S ribosomal RNA". It matches the Rfam family "Bacterial small subunit ribosomal RNA", at positions 28 to 507 of the family's 1533-position model. The record is from RNAcentral.
GAUGAACGCUGGCGGCGUGCCUAAUACAUGCAAGUCGAGCGAACAGACGAGGAGCUUGCUCCUCUGACGUUAGCGGCGGACGGGUGAGUAACACGUGGAUAACCUACCUAUAAGACUGGGAUAACUUCGGGAAACCGGAGCUAAUACCGGAUAAUAUAUUGAACCGCAUGGUUCAAUAGUGAAAGACGGUUUUGCUGUCACUUAUAGAUGGAUCCGCGCCGCAUUAGCUAGUUGGUAAGGUAACGGCUUACCAAGGCAUCGAUGCGUAGCCGACCUGAGAGGGUGAUCGGCCACACUGGAACUGAGACACGGUCCAGACUCCUACGGGAGGCAGCAGGAGGGAAUCUUCCGCAAUGGGCGAAAGCCUGACGGAGCAACGCCGCGUGAGUGAUGAAGGUCUUCGGAUCGUAAAACUCUGUUAUUAGGGAAGAACAAAUGUGUAAGUAACUAUGCACGUAUUGACGGUACCUAAUCAGAAAGCCACGGCUAACUACGUG